RNAcentral lists this ribosomal RNA (507 nucleotides) under uncultured bacterium. RNAcentral's name for it is "bacterial SSU rRNA". It matches the Rfam family "Bacterial small subunit ribosomal RNA", at positions 303 to 802 of the family's 1533-position model. The record is from RNAcentral.
AUCGGCCACAUUGGGACUGAGACACGGCCCAAACUCCUACGGGAGGCAGCAGUAGGGAAUCUUCCACAAUGGGCGAAAGCCUGAUGGAGCAACGCCGCGUGGGUGAAGAAGGUCUUCGGAUCGUAAAACCCUGUUGUUAGAGAAGAAAGUGCGUGAGAGUAACUGUUCACGUUUCGACGGUAUCUAACCAGAAAGCCACGGCUAACUACGUGCCAGCAGCCGCGGUAAUACGUAGGUGGCAAGCGUUAUCCGGAUUUAUUGGGCGUAAAGGGAACGCAGGCGGUCUUUUAAGUCUGAUGUGAAAGCCUUCGGCUUAACCGGAGUAGUGCAUUGGAAACUGGGAGACUUGAGUGCAGAAGAGGAGAGUGGAACUCCAUGUGUAGCGGUGAAAUGCGUAGAUAUAUGGAAGAACACCAGUGGCGAAAGCGGCUCUCUGGUCUGUAACUGACGCUGAGGUUCGAAAGCGUGGGUAGCAAACAGGAUUAGAUACCCUGGUAGUCCACGCCG